AAAUCCUAGAACAAUUUGUUGUGUCUUUUUUUUCAAUUUAAAUAAGACUGCAACUCAUUUGACGGUUGGUGCUAGAUGAAGAUAAGAAUUCAAUUGAUGGCGUAUGAAUAUUUCCACAUUUUUCAUAAGAUAAAAAAAAUAUUACAUGCAAAGUGGCUCCUAAAAUAUUAUCUUGUUUAAAUUUAUUCUUUUCAAUAGUUUGCAAUUGCAGCUGUUAAACGUAAUUUCAGUUACUGUAGUUGAGCCACCUUAUAUAUUUUCAAAUAUA
RNAcentral lists this long non-coding RNA (268 nucleotides) under Ananas comosus (pineapple). RNAcentral's name for it is "long non-coding RNA (ACOM_LNC016178)". Lineage: Eukaryota; Viridiplantae; Streptophyta; Magnoliopsida; Poales; Bromeliaceae. The record is from RNAcentral.